This 1262-nucleotide long non-coding RNA is filed under the name Canis lupus dingo (dingo). Its description in RNAcentral is "lncRNA (ENSCAFG00020003462.1)". Lineage: Eukaryota; Metazoa; Chordata; Mammalia; Carnivora; Canidae. The record is from RNAcentral.
CUCAUAUUUCAGAACUAUCAUCAGCAUAAAUGAGGAGAAUCAGUGUAAGAGGUGGAACUGAUUCAGAACCAUAAACUUUGGAACCCAGAAGGAUCUUGGAGUUCUCAUUCAGUGAUUUUUCACAGAAGAGAAAGAUUGGAGCUGCUGCCCAAAGGAUUGGAAGUCAUUUAGUUCCAACUGCUACUUUUAUUUCUACUACACCAAGAAAUUGGACUGAGAGUGAGAGGAACAGCUCAGAAAUGAAGGCUGACCUGCUGGUGAUUAACACCAAGGAUGAACAGAUUUUGGCACUCAGGUGAACCCAGUAAUCUUGAUGAGCAUUGUGUCAUGCUACAUUUUCAUUAUUUUUCAAGACAAUGGGGCUGGAAUGAUGUUCCUUGUAAUGGACACCACAAGUUGCUUUGCAAGAUGAAGAAGAUCUACUUAUGAAUGGGAACAUUCUACAUAAAACUGUGGUUGAAUUGGUACCCACCAUUACAGAGAUAGCUAAUUUGCUCUUUUUAGUCAUGUGUUAGUCUUGUGUAAGGAAUCUCCAUAGCAUUUUUCAGUAGGCUGUCACCUAUUCCAUUUAUGAUAGAAUCAGUGUGCACAUCCAUUCAUUUGUUCCUUCGUGUGUAGAGACCCUUUUGCAGACACAUGGAGCAUGAAAAUUCUUUUCUAAUUUUUGUCUGAGUGCUAAGGAGUUAGAGAUUGAUAUAUGAUGAGGUUCCUCCAUCUGUCUGGAUUUUUUUUUUCUCAUGAGGUUGGUCAAAAGCAAAAUAAUUCCAACUAUUACUUUCCAUUUCUCUCAGAUAUAUUUAUUACUUUUAACUGAAGCGUAUUAUGUGACAGUUUGGAUAUAAUACACAUCAAUGGAAGUUAAGUUCCAGCUUUGUCCCAGUAGAAUAUUUGGAGAUCUUAACAUUCUCUGAUCAGUCUUGGACUUUAUUUAACAUCAGGGUACAGUCAAAGGGAAAUCAGAAAUUGAAUAUUAGAGAUUUAGAAUUAGAAGUUAUUACUAGUGAGUUGACAUGGAUUUAUAGUCGUUAGGUAUUCUAAUAGUUUUUUUUCUUUGCUUAAGUUUUAUAAGGUUUCUAUGUGUAGAUUGCCACUCAAAAUAGCUCACGGUUUGUUUGUGUUCCCCUUUUCACUGAAGUUCUUACUGAUCAUUUUGUUUCUGCUACAAUAUACAAGUAUAUCAAAUUUACAAAAAAGUCUGUUAUUCAUUACUUUCAUAUGCUAAUUAUAAUUGAUCAGAAUAAAGCUGAUUUUAGGCAUGGCUC